RNAcentral lists this ribosomal RNA (465 nucleotides) under Vreelandella stevensii. RNAcentral describes it as "partial 16S ribosomal RNA". It matches the Rfam family "Bacterial small subunit ribosomal RNA", at positions 338 to 795 of the family's 1533-position model. Lineage: Bacteria; Pseudomonadati; Pseudomonadota; Gammaproteobacteria; Oceanospirillales; Halomonadaceae. The record is from RNAcentral.
CCUACGGGGGGCAGCAGUGGGGAAUAUUGGACAAUGGGGGGAACCCUGAUCCAGCCAUGCCGCGUGUGUGAAGAAGGCCCUCGGGUUGUAAAGCACUUUCAGUGAGGAAGAACGCCUGGUGGUUAAUACCCAUCAGGAAAGACAUCACUCACAGAAGAAGCACCGGCUAACUCCGUGCCAGCAGCCGCGGUAAUACGGAGGGUGCGAGCGUUAAUCGGAAUUACUGGGCGUAAAGCGCGCGUAGGUGGCUUGAUAAGCCGGUUGUGAAAGCCCCGGGCUCAACCUGGGAACGGCAUCCGGAACUGUCAAGCUAGAGUGCAGGAGAGGAAGGUAGAAUUCCCGGUGUAGCGGUGAAAUGCGUAGAGGUCGGGAGGAAUACCAGUGGCGAAGGCGGCCUUCUGGACUGACACUGACACUGAGGUGCGAAAGCGUGGGUAGCAAACAGGAUUAGAUACCCGGGUAGUC